RNAcentral lists this ribosomal RNA (115 nucleotides) under Gelidium vagum. The record is from RNAcentral. Lineage: Eukaryota; Rhodophyta; Florideophyceae; Gelidiales; Gelidiaceae.
GUUUUUAACCUACUAAGACUUCCAUAAUUAAUAGUACUAUUAGUGAAGAUGAGUUUACUUUUGAGUUCAAAAAAGGAUCAAGUAAUUGCUUAGCCUCACUUCUUAAGUUAAAAAG